AUUGAACGCUGGCGGCAGGCCUAACACAUGCAAGUCGAGCGGUAACACAGAGGAGCUUGCUCCUUGGGUGACGAGCGGCGGACGGGUGAGUAAUGCCUGGGGAUCUGCCCGAUAGAGGGGGAUAACUACGGGAAACUGUAGCUAAUACCGCAUAAUGUCUACGGACCAAAGUGGGGGCUCUUCGGACCUCAUGCUAUCGGAUGAACCCAGGUGGGAUUAGCUAGUUGGUGAGGUAAUGGCUCACCACGGUGACGAUCUCUAACUGGUUUGGAAGAAUAGCCGGGCACACUGGAACUGAGACACGGUCCAGACUCCUACGGGAGGCAGCAGUGGGGAAUAUGGCACAAUGGGCGCAAGCCUGAUGCAGCCAUGCCGCGUGUGUGAAGAAGGCCUUCGGGUUGUAAAGCACUUUCAGCGGGGAGGAAGGGCCACUAGUUAAUACCUAGUGGCAUUGACGUUACUCGCAGAAGAAGCACCGGCUAACUCCGUGCCAGCCGCCGCGGUAA
RNAcentral lists this ribosomal RNA (506 nucleotides) under uncultured bacterium. RNAcentral's name for it is "partial 16S ribosomal RNA". It matches the Rfam family "Bacterial small subunit ribosomal RNA", at positions 30 to 523 of the family's 1533-position model. The record is from RNAcentral.